Molecule: long non-coding RNA, 513 nt
Organism: Talpa occidentalis (Iberian mole)
Lineage: Eukaryota; Metazoa; Chordata; Mammalia; Eulipotyphla; Talpidae
Exons: 3
Source: RefSeq, a predicted model, not a curated record
AGGAGCUGAGCAGGUCUCAUGGCCAGAGGUCUCCAUACAGGCUGCAUCUGACAGACCUAUAAGCUUGGGUGGCAGGAAGGGAAUCCAAUCCCAAGCUGGGAUGCCCAAUCAUGAUUGAUUGAGGAAGGCCACCCACACUGAGCCUUCUGGAAUCCAUUGCAGACCUCAGUUGACAGUCAUUCCAUCAUUUAUCUGUUGUAUCCAUUCAUUGAUGGACUGAGCACCUGGGCUAGGUGUAAGAAGUACAGAAAUAAAUGAAACAGCGUCGCCACCCUUAUUGGGUCAACUUAGAAAUAGCAAACAUCUGGAAGGAGGGAGAGAAGAAGGAAGGAAAGAGAAGAGGUGAGAGAGAGAGAGAUGAAGAACAUGCAAAACAUCAAAACUAACACUGAAACAUUGCAGGCAUAAGGCAGAGUCAAAAAAGGAAAGCCCCAGAAAUUUGACAUGGUUACUCCGGUGACCAAGACAGCAUCUUAAUCCAUAGUUCAACAGUUUCCUAGUCCUCUUGGGGGA